RNAcentral lists this long non-coding RNA (2178 nucleotides) under Salmo salar (Atlantic salmon). RNAcentral's name for it is "lncRNA (ENSSSAG00000122248.1)". Lineage: Eukaryota; Metazoa; Chordata; Actinopteri; Salmoniformes; Salmonidae. The record is from RNAcentral.
CUUAAAUGUAAAAUGUAAAAAUGUAAAUUUAAAGAUUUGAGAAAUAAAUAUAGCAGCACGAGAAAGCUGGGAUCCUCUUUUUAAAAAGGUGUCCAGUCAAAACGCGAUUGCGCAAUGACAGGGUUUAUAAGAACAACACGUUUCACUAGGCCUUGUGCUCUCUAACCGCGUUUCUUACGUCGGUUGGCCACGGAGAAUGAGAGCUUACAGUUCUUGGUAACUGGCCGCAUCCGGCGUGAGCUGCUGGCCGAGCUGGUGGAGGACGAGCUUGUUGCCGUGGAGAUGGCCUGUCUGGAGGAUGAGUUCCGUGUCCUGUCGGAGGAGAACGCCACGCUGCUCAACGUCCACACUGAGCGCGCUCAGCAACUGGAGACGCUCAGCUCCACCAAUCGGAAUCAGACCAGCCAGGACAGCUCCUCCACGUGACCCCCUGAACUCGACUCGACCCCAAGAGAUGAUGACCUCGCUCGAGACCUUCACAAACUGACGCUACGGGCCCGUAUUCCAAAACUGCUGAUCUAGGAUCAGUUCCCUUCCGUUCAUAAAUUCAUAUUUAUUAUGAUCUAAAAAUGCCAAACGGAUCCUAAAUCAGCACUCUUGCUCUGAGCCUCAACUUGGAUAUGGGCCCUGAAAACAUUACUAUCGGUGGCUGUCAAAUCCUUGCUUCCUCUGUCCUUGUUUCCUUAUCUCCUUUUCUAAGAGCAAUGGAGAAGAGGAUACAAGGUCCCUCGCUUGUUUGGACCUUCUCUUCCAAUGCACUUUGAGAGGAACUCUGAACCAGGGUUUUGGGGCCAGUUCUAUUUCAAUUCCAGCGAUGGGUUCAGAUUUCUAAACUUUUUUAAAAUAUAUUGUUAAUCAUCAGUUAUACCAGAGACAUGAGGAGUGACAUAGUCUGGUUUCUACACCAGAAGUUAAUGGGUAUCCGUAGGAGUAAUGUAUAAGGUUGGGGUCAAGGAUGUUUGAAUAGGAGCCAGGGGACAUUUGGGAGGUGCUGAGUAGAGGAGAGGCGAUCCCAUGAUUAUGGUGGAGAGCUGUGGAUUAGUAAAGAAUGUAGAGGUCAGGUCACGUCACGUUAAGGCAGAAGGAACAGUGUGUUGCCCGCAUUACUUAACUUCCCGUCUAGUGAUAAAGACGUAAUGUUUAGAGAGAAGGAGGAGACUUUGUCUUAUGCAGCUGUAUUGACCCAAUGGGUGAAUAAACUUGGUUUAAGCUUUACUAAUCACCUGUGAGUUUUACUAACAAAACAGUCGUCAAUUCAGGAAGUACACUGAAAUUCUAACUCAAAUUCUUCUUCGUUGCGUUUCAAUGAGCGGAAUUUGGUUUUCUUUCUCAAUUGACUGGAAUUGAAAUGGAAUUAAUCCCAACCCUGCUAAGGAAACAAGGACAGGGGAUGCAAGGACUUAGUAGUAGUAGUAGUAGUAGUAGUAGUAGUAGUAGUAGUAGUAGUAGGCUCUGUGAGUCUCUGGGCUUUGUGGAGACAUACAGGUGGUGUGAUGUGGUCCAAAAUGUUUUCGGGGGGGGGGCUUCCAUGCUCUCUCUUUCUCCCCCUUUCCUGUCCUCCCUCAGUUCCCCAGGUUUAUACUAUACCACCCAGGAUCAACUCUUGAGUUGAUGAUUCUGUAUGAGGUAGAAAUGCAAGACACUGUAAGACAUUAAAUCAUCUGGAUGUUGUGGAGCAAACUGGCUAGAUAUUCUGUAGUGAAGUAAUGUUAACGUUGACAAAGAAAAUGGUAUUUGUUAUUAAAAGAAGGAGUGGGCUAGUGAGAAUGACAAUGUUGGUUUUUAUGGUAAUUCCCUGUAGUAACUGUUAUUAACUGUUGUAAGGAAAACACAAUAUGACAAUGACAGAAUUCUGUAUGUGGCACAAUAAAGUUCUCUAUUAUGAAUUUAAAUUUUUAUAAAAAAAAUACAUUUUAGGUGGAUGUCCUUCAGCAUGAUCCUUUAGUUUCAUUUCCUGUAGAAUGUCUGCUUAUUAUGACCUCACUACAUGGCAACACUCCACUACCACGGAAUAGGGAACUGUCUUGUUUCACAAUGACAUUUAAUCACUCCAGGGUUGUGAAACCAAACAUCAGCUGUUAACAUUAUGUCUGACUCUCGCCCCCCUUCAUUGACUCUCACUUUUGCUCUCUCCCCCUUGUUGUCUCUCUCUCACUCUCUCACUCUCUCACACUUUUG